GCACUCUUGUUUCUCUUCAGAUUGUAUAAAUCUUUCGCCUUUUACUAAAGAUUUCCGUGGGGAGGAACAACAAGAGUUUGAUUCAAUUUUUUGAUGCCCUGCAGUAUUAGGGCC
Molecule: small nuclear RNA, 114 nt
Filed under: Oryzias latipes (Japanese medaka)
Lineage: Eukaryota; Metazoa; Chordata; Actinopteri; Beloniformes; Adrianichthyidae
Description: U5 spliceosomal RNA (ENSORLG00000025264.1)
Rfam family: U5 spliceosomal RNA
About the family: U5 RNA is a component of both types of known spliceosome. The precise function of this molecule is unknown, though it is known that the 5' loop is required for splice site selection and p220 binding, and that both the 3' stem-loop and the Sm site are important for Sm protein binding and cap methylation.
Source: Rfam by way of RNAcentral